RNAcentral lists this ribosomal RNA (686 nucleotides) under uncultured bacterium. Its description in RNAcentral is "bacterial SSU rRNA". It matches the Rfam family "Bacterial small subunit ribosomal RNA", at positions 54 to 745 of the family's 1533-position model. The record is from RNAcentral.
CAUGCAAGUCGAGCGAGAAAGUGACUUCUGUCGCGAGUAAAGCGGCGAACGGGUGAGUACAACGUGGAUAAUCUACCCUAAGGUCCGGGACAACCCCGAGAAAUCGGGGCUAAUACCGGAUAAGACCACAGUAUCCGAGGAUACAGCGGUAAAAGAUUUAUCGCCUUUGGAUGAGUCCACGUCCCAUCAGGUAGUUGGUAAGGUAAAAGCUUACCAAGCCUAAGACGGGUAGCCGGCCUUAGCGGGUGAACGGCCACAUGGGGACUGAGACACGGCCCUGACUCCUACGGGAGGCAGCAGUGGGGAAUAUUGGGCAAUGGGCGAAAGCCUGACCCAGCGAUGCCGCGUGAGGGAUGAAGGCCUUCGGGUUGUAAACCUCUGUCAGGAGGGACGAUGGGACACUUGUGUCUUGACGGUACCUCCAGAGGAAGCCCCGGCUAACUCCGUGCCAGCAGCCGCGGUAAUACGGAGGGGGCAAGCGUUGCUCGGAAUUACUGGGCGUAAAGGGUCCGCAGGCUGUCAGGCAAGUUGGUUGUGAAAGCUCAAGGCUUAACCUUGGAAUUGCAUCCAAAACUGCCUGACUAGAGUCCAAGAGAGGUUGGCGGAAUUCCCGGUGUAGCGGUGAAAUGCAUAGAUAUCGGGAGGAACACCAGAGGCGAAGGCGGCCAACUGGCUUGGAACUGACG